Molecule: long non-coding RNA, 305 nt
Organism: Schistocerca cancellata (South American locust)
Lineage: Eukaryota; Metazoa; Arthropoda; Insecta; Orthoptera; Acrididae
Exons: 4
Source: RefSeq, a predicted model, not a curated record
CUUCAAUGGAAUUAUUUCGGAAUGCUGUUUCGCCGGCUGGUAUACACAGAGUGAAAUCGAAAGCAUUUGCUGUGUUGAUUGAUGGUGUUCAUACUGACAUAGUGCUGAUAGACUACAUUUCUUUGUGACAGCAGCAGCUGGUGACAUGGAACACACACACUCUGAAAAGAAACAAGCUCUUCGUCGUAUUGACACAGUACAAGAAGUUGGGAUCAUUCAUUACUGUGUGUAAGGAGGCAUCUCGGACAAUUAAUGGUGUAUCAGAUGUUUACCAUGUUCGGACCAUUCAGGGUUGUGAAAAUGAA